CAUCUACAGGCAAUUGAGUUAGUAGGUUUGUAGGAAUUUUUUCGUGGUUAGCCUAAUGUCUGCGGGCGAUGUUUUCUUUCUUUCUCAUGCUUUGAUAUUCAUUAAGUUUGUUUAGCCUAACGCUGUUACGCAUAUUUCUUUCGGUUUCCCUUUUAAGAAAUACAGAGGAAAAAAAAGACAAAAAAAAAAAAAUUUAAUAAAUAAAUAAAAAGAGCAGCGUUCUGUACUUCAGGGUUUCCAGCGGCGGCAACGCGGGUAGAAUGUUUCUUUGUCCAAACAGCUGUUUUUGGUCAUUUCUUUCGUCUCCCGUAUUUGAUAAAUAUACAGAUGUUUAUAUUCUUUCAAUUUACUUCAGGCGCGUUGUAAUCGGUCACGUGACAAUAACAAACAAAACAGUAGAAUAGAGCGCUUGACCAUCAUUAGCCUAUUGUUACGGAAGGGGAAAUAUAAGACGACGAAAAGAUAUAGUCCAUCAAACAUAUAGCUUUCAAGCGUUAUUAUUACAACCCCAUAGAAAAAGAGAGAGAAAGAGAGUGACAUACACACACACAAAAAAAAUUACUGCUGAAUAACUUGGGGGAACAAAAUCCAAAUUCUAAAUUUGCAUCUUCUUUCCCUUUUCCAAUGAACGAUAUUUCUUCGCUACGGUUUCUUUCUUAGAUUUAUAAUAAUAAAGUUUAAUAACAAUAGAACACUAUCGAGAGACGAACACGGCGUGUGUGUAAAAGUGUGUGGGCCGAUCUGCUGCGCUGCAACGAACGGAUUUUUUUGUUUUUCUUAAUUUUUGUUUGGAGACGAGAAAAAUAUUGCAAAAUGCGGCACGUACUACGUCAGCUUUGAAAGAGAGAAAGAGAACACAUUUUGGAAAGAGAGAUUGAAGAAAACGGAGGGAAAAGAGAAACGAACACGCGCAAUAAUACAAAGACUUCGGUUGGUUCUUUUUUUUUCCAAUUUUUUUUUUUUUCUUUUUUCUCUUAAAUGGUGGUUGAAGAUGAUGGAGAAAGUGUACUAGAAAAGAAGAAGAAAACCAAAUAAAUUGAGCUCUAUUGGAUGUAUAUAUAUCGACCUUUUUGCUCUCUUUGCGCCGUCCUACCUAGAUCCAUUUUUAAUCUACCUCACAUCAUUUUUCUGUACAUCUAAUAUUAGAAUUCUUUAACGUCAUUUUCAAAUAUAGCCUCAAUAUAAACGUACUUUUAAAAAAAUUAUCAAUCCGCCACCACAUCACGCGAAAUGUUUUGACUGUUGAAAAACAAAAUAACUGGAACGGAGCAAAAAUGAAAAAAAAAAAAAAAGGAGAAACUAGAGAAGAGUGGAAAGAGAAAGGGUUCUGUGUGUGUAUGUGUACGUGUGUGUAUACAUAUAUACGUGGUAUGUGUGUGUGUAAAAAAAACCGGGAGGGAAGGAGCGAGGAUACAGUUGAUUGAGCAGAUUGUACAAAUGUGACCAAAGAGUUAUUAUAACUAUUUUUUUUUCUUAAUUUUUUUUUUUUUUUUACUGUCUG
Daphnia magna is the source of this 1501-nucleotide long non-coding RNA. RefSeq lists it as uncharacterized. NCBI's taxonomy places the organism in Eukaryota, Metazoa, Arthropoda, Branchiopoda, Diplostraca, Daphniidae. The transcript has 2 exons. The record is from RefSeq and is a predicted model, not a curated record.